GAUGAACGCUGGCGGCGUGCUUAACACAUGCAAGUCGAACGAAGCACUUUAUUUGAUUUCCUUCGGGACUGAUUAUUUUGUGACUGAGUGGCGGACGGGUGAGUAACGCGUGGGUAACCUGCCUUGUACAGGGGGAUAACAGUCGGAAACGGCUGCUAAUACCGCAUAAGCGCACAGCAUCGCAUGAUGCAGUGUGAAAAACUCCGGUGGUAUAAGAUGGACCCGCGUUGGAUUAGCUAGUUGGUGAGGUAACGGCCCACCAAGGCGACGAUCAGUAGCCGACCUGAGAGGGUGACCGGCCACAUUGGGACUGAGACACGGCCCAAACUCCUACGGGAGGCAGCAGUGGGGAAUAUUGCACAAUGGAGGAAACUCUGAUGCAGCGACGCCGCGUGAGUGAAGAAGUAGUUCGCUAUGUAAAGCUCUAUCAGCAGGGAAGAUAGUGACGGU
Molecule: ribosomal RNA, 450 nt
Filed under: uncultured bacterium
Lineage: Bacteria
Description: bacterial SSU rRNA
Rfam family: Bacterial small subunit ribosomal RNA
Source: RNAcentral